UCUGGUGACAAUGGCAAGGAGGUCACACCUGUUCCCAUGCCGAACACAGAAGUUAAGCUCCUUAGCGUCUGAAUCUGAAUCGCUGUCGCUAUCU
RNAcentral lists this ribosomal RNA (94 nucleotides) under Staphylococcus hominis subsp. hominis. Lineage: Bacteria; Bacillati; Bacillota; Bacilli; Caryophanales; Staphylococcaceae. The record is from RNAcentral.